AGAUGGCGACCGGCGCACGGGUGAGUAACACGUAUCCAACCUGCCGAUAACUCGGGGAUAGCCUUUCGAAAGAAAGAUUAAUACCCGAUGGCAUAAUAGAACCGCAUGGUUUGAUUAUUAAAGAAUUUCGGUUAUCGAUGGGGAUGCGUUCCAUUAGGCAGUUGGUGGGGUAACGGCCCACCAAACCUUCGAUGGAUAGGGGUUCUGAGAGGAGGUCCCCCACAUUGGAACUGAGACACGGUCCAA
This 246-nucleotide ribosomal RNA is filed under the name uncultured bacterium. RNAcentral describes it as "partial 16S ribosomal RNA". It matches the Rfam family "Bacterial small subunit ribosomal RNA", at positions 86 to 334 of the family's 1533-position model. The record is from RNAcentral.